Molecule: transfer RNA, 70 nt
Filed under: Gyrodactylus sp. FY-2015
Lineage: Eukaryota; Metazoa; Platyhelminthes; Monogenea; Gyrodactylidea; Gyrodactylidae
Description: tRNA-Leu
Source: RNAcentral
AUACUAGUGUCAGAGAGUUAUAUGAAUUGAUUUUAAGCGUCGAAUACGAAAUGUUAAGUUUCCUAGUAUU